CUCUGGCCUUCCCUGCCCAGCCUCUGUCUUCAGUUUCUGCGUCCGUGCUCUCCACCUCUGCCUUUCCCCCCAAAGCCGAUCGAGGUGGAGAUCAAGAGAGGAAGGAGUCGGGGGAGAGGCCAGUUCUUUCACUCGGAAUGAAUCUCAGUCUGCAGCUCCAAGCGUGCAAGACGCCCAACUUUUAUUUUUCUGUACCUGAGCUCAGUUUUCUUUCCUGGCAAUCCCUACACACCCUCCCCUCUGCUGCCACAUCUCCCUAGAGAGUCUUCAUCUACCAGGGCCGGAAAUCCAGCCUAGGCUCAUCCUGUUUUCUCCCAAGUUUUCCACCAUGACCUUCCCUCAAGGGAAACAAGUAGGGAAACAAGAAAGAAAGAAAAAAAACAACCCUAAAAUACAAUAGUUGGUAGUAAAAGUUGAGCCCACUCCAGUCGAACCACCCAAAGGCCCUCCGCCCCCCUCCCCUGGUCUGCCGCUGUGCUGCUGGCAGUGUCCCUGCCUUGUCUCAACCUGCUAUGGGUUGAACUAUGCACCCUGCCCCCCAGUUUCAUAUGUUCAAAUCUUAACCCCCAGUACCAACCCCCAGGACCUCUCCUACUGAUAUUGCCCGUAUUUGGAAAUGGGAUCGUUAUAGAUAUAACUAGUUAGGGUGUGUUUAUAGUGGGAUGGGGUGGACUCUUUACUCCAGUACGACUCUCAUCAGCAGAAAAAGGGGAAAUUUGGGCCUAGAAGCAGUCACACAGGGAGAACACUGAGGAGGGAUUGGGGUUAUGCUUCUACAAGCUGAGGGACUCCCAGAGCAAGGAGAAGGCCUAAGAGCAGAUCCUAGAACCAACAGAGGGAGCGUGGCCUUGACCUCACACUUCCAGCCUGCAGAGCUGUGAGACAAGAGGUUUCUGUUGUUUAAGCCACUCAGUUGGUGGUACUUGGUGUGGCAGCCCUGGCCAACUACAGAUGCUAUGAACUGACCCAGGGUCCUCCUCCCACCCAAAGAGCCCCCAGCAGCCAGGGACUCCUGGGGCUCUGGGGUCCAGCAAUGACCUCACACUUGGCCUUUCUGCUUCUUGGCCAGUGCCCAGUUGCUGGAGAAAGAGGAAAGUCCCAGAGUUCUCUGGUAGUGCUCUCAGGAAGAGGCUCUUAGGGGAGUGCAGUUUUAGCUAAAUUACAGCUACGCUGCCCUACACUGGCCAGUGUAGAUGCCAAGGCAGUGAGGGGUUUGAGGGAAGCCAUGGCCACGCCCUCCUGUAUCCCAGAGCCUCCAGCACCCGUAGGCAGUGAGGCUCUGCUCUGCCUCCUGCCCGAGGUUGUGCAGACUUCCGGGUAACUCUGGGAAGGGGGAUGUUACGCUGGCAUCAGGCAGUGCCAGGACAGGCUCUGGUGGUCCUCGAGGCUGUAGCCGCCUGAUCUUCUUUUUUGGAAUCAAGAAUGCGUCAUCAAGUAGUUAACAUCUUACACUUGCUGGGGGUUUUAGUUCUGCAGAAGGUCUCAAGGACAUUGUUAUGUGUGUUCCUUGAGGGGGAACCAGACCCCUGCCCCAAGGCUGCGCUAUUGUUUCUUGAGGGCUCCUCCCUGGUCUCAGCGUCCCCUCCCUUCCCUGAUCAGCCUCUGUUGGAACCCGCCCCUUAGAGCUCAGGGAAGGCCAUGGAGACUGAGUGAGGCCCAUUUCCUAAGAACAAGAAAUGGGGGCCAAAGAAGGGCUUCUGUGUCCCGAAAUCCUUUCACAUGCUAGGUUUCAUUCUCGGGGUGGGAAGGGUGAGUCCAGAAGUACAGGGGCCCUAACCAGCCUAGUGCUUUCAUCCUCCUGCGGAGAAUUGGGCACAGUGGUGACAAAACCACGAGGGGGUAGCAGGAGGGCACGGUGGGGGAGGAUGGAGACGGGCACGCCUCCUUUCAAGGCCCAGUAGAAAGCUAACAGGCCAUAGAUGCUCAGGUACAGUGCUAGAGUCAGCUUGGGAACAUUCAGACGUGGCUCUGGAAAAAAAUGGGAAUAACUCGGAUUGUGGAGAGGGGGAGGUGCGCUGGCACAGCUGAGUGAGGGAGGCCAUGGGACCUGCGGGGCAUGAAGGAAAUGGGUUUGUGCAGUGAAGCUUCAGAGCUGGUUGUGUGCUGACACACUGUGACCUGCUGGGCACCAUCCAAAAUGAGCUACACAUCAUCCUCGUGGAGUUAGACAUGGACAUCAGAUACAAGGCUAGACAUAAAUAUGGCAGGUAACAUCCACGGCUGUGGUUGGUGGUCCUGGGACAAUGUUGAGCAUGAAAAGACAGGACAUACAUACAGCAGGACAAGAGGCUUAAGACGACCCUCGAAACUAGAAUGGAAGGUCCAUAAAAAAUGACCCAAUCCAUCAGAUUAAAUAUUAACAUGCGUGAAAUACAAUGGAAUGGGUGUGUUUGAAGAGCACAUAUUGACAUAAGAUUGACAAGAAUUUUCUCAGAAGACGCAGGGUAGGUUUGGAGAAAUGAUCAACUCACUUCUAAGUACACACGCAUUGGAGUUCCCUGGUGGCUCAGCAGGUUAAAGAUGCAGCAUUGUCACUGCUGCGGCUUGGGUCACUGAUGUGCCGCAGGUUUGAUCCCUGGCUCAGGAACUUCUGCAUGCUGUAGUCACAGCGGAAGGAAGGAAGGAAGGAACACACACACAUGCAUGACACAUUCCUUUACAUGUAUAUUCAGGUAUACAGACAGCUAGAUAGAUACAAGUACACGCACCUAUGACCGCCACAAAACACAGUGCUGGCUUUGUCAUGUGUGAUUUGUUUUUUGUCUUUUUUUUAAUUUCAAUUAAUUAAAGGAUAAUAGUUAAGAGCUUUAGAAUCAAGCAUGUCUGACUUUGCAUAUGAGUUUCAUUAUUUAGGGUCUUGACUGGAUUAACUUCCUUGAGUUUCAAUUUCCUUAUCUAUGAACUAGGACUAAUAAUAUUUAUUUCCAAGUAUUGUGGUGGGAAUUCACUAUGUCCUUUGUCUGGUACAGAGCAAAACCUUCAGUAAAUAAAUGUUUAUGCACCCUUUUGAUCAGCUUAUGUAUGGCUGUAUUAUUGGCUAUAAAUGGCACAUAAUACAUAAUAUUGGCACAUUCACAAUACAAAAAAUUUAGCAAGUGAAGAGUUUAUUGCUUAAAACAAAUCACCUGUUGAACCUGAAUCAAUCUGGUUUAUGUAAAAGAGAACAUUUUAAUGUGAGUAACUAAGUCAGUCGAGGGUCAGAACUUGCCUAUAGGCAGGGCGGUAUUCAGAGACUAACUCCUUUCCUUGGGGGCUCUGCUCUCUGGAUCCUUUAACGGCUGUGUUCCUCAGGGGGACACCGUGGCUGCCAGAGGCCUCAGAUGAGCUCUCCCUAGGGGAGUGACCCCAGUGGAAAUGCAGCUUCUUCUCUAACAGCUCUCAAAAAAAUACAAAAUAAAAUCAAAAGAUAGUGCAAAGUCUCUGAAUAGCCCAUUUAGAUCUUGCUGUUUUACUUUGAACUUGUCUGUGUACUCUGACUAGCAAGUCCAAGGCCACGGGUCUGACUUCCUGACCAGAGGUGGGGAGAAGGUCAGCCUCACCGAAUCCAGGGGUGGGUCCUUCGGUUACCAGCAAAUGGCAAAUGAGACAAUGGAUGCUGCCUGUGACAAUGUGACUGGAUCUCACUGUCACCCAGAGAGAUCACUGCUAUCAUCUGGUGCAUUUCCUUACAGAUUUGUUUUCCUAUACAAACAGCAAUAUGUGUGUGUGUGUGUGUGUGUGUGUAACCUGGAGAGAUAUUUCCAUAUAAAAACAGAUGGGAAAAUGCUUCCAUGCAAAAAUAGAUCAUACUACACACUUUUUAAAAUCACCAAUAUAUCACGGACUUCUUUCAUGUGAAUAAAUAUAAGCCCAACAAAGCUUUUAAAAUGGUCGCAUAGUAUUCCACUCUGUGACGUCAUAAUUUAGCUUUCCCUUGAAUAAGUUCUCUGAACGGGAUGGACCUUCUAGGAAAGGGCAGUUGUAUGGCUGAGUGGAAGUGGCUGGAAGUUGGCAAAGGGCUGAGUGGAAGUGGGUUUCCGGCUCCCCGUGUCUGCAGCCGUGGGUGGUGUGUGCACAGGUGUGGGCGCGUUAAGUGCCUAAGGAAGAGGCACAAGGAUGUUUCCACCAUCCAGGGUCCUCGCAAACUGCCCACAGGCUUGAGACAGAAAGGGGGUCAGAAUCCACUGCCCUCAGCAGCCUCUGAAUCACUUCCCAGCCCUGGUGGGCAUGUGAAGUACAGUUAGUCUUAGUCUGCGUCAGAUGCUGAAUCUUGUUAAGAGAGACACGCGGAUCCCUCUAAGAGCUUCUUUUUCAGAAUAUAGAACUCACGUGAGCAACUGAAAUGAAUCUAGGAGUAGAAAUUGCUCUUGUUUGCAAUAAAUCGAUCCAGGACAGGGGCAGGGUUCCUGAGAGAAGGAGGGACUCGCCAAGUUUGAAGUUCGAGACGAUGCUCCAUUCAAAAACCACCCUGGAAAGAACAUCUUUAGAGAAAUAUAUAGGUGAUGUAGAUUGUUUUUUUGGAAAGGUUCCCUUUCUACACUUCCCAGGGAAUCAUCGCCGAGGUUUUCAAAAUAGAAGGCUGCCUGGGAAAGCUGGGGGCCGGACUCGCAGGAGAGCCCCCUGCGUUCCCGCUGAGGCUCCUGGUACCCCGGCUGAGCGCGCGGCGUCAGCUCAGGCUCUGCCCAGCUCCCCGCCGCCCCGCGUGCUUUGCCAGCCGCACAGACGCCGCCGGGAGGACCGAUCCGUGCAAGCUGUAAUGUGCCAGAGGCCCCUGGAAGGGCCGUGGGAUGUCGACAGCUUUCCGUCCCUCCCGCCCGGCGCAGCGGGCUCCCUGCACCUGGCCCACGCUCAGCGCCCGCCCAGCCGCGCACCAGCCGCCGCCGCCCUGGUGCUGCGCGGUCCUCCGGAGCCCUCUUUGGAUGUGGAACCAAGUGCAUAGUGGCACUCCGAGCUCUUUGAAUCCAAGGCAGGGCUCCGGAAGCGAAGGGAAACACUUUCUUCAGAUAAACAUAUGGCUUUCUGGCCUCUUAGCAGAGGAAGGAAAUGCCCUUAACGUGUCAGGAUCUUGUUUUGAGAGCAUCUGAGUGAAAGAAGGCACCGAUGUUUAUGCUUGGCCCAUGCCCUGAUUCAUGACAGCUUAAAAAGGGGUUACUUUGUAACUCUCCCAAGGGGAUCAGAUCCUAAAACUAUAUGUGGAUCGUAAGAUACAAUAGAAGAUGUCAAAUAUUUCACACACAUAAAAAUUGUUUUAAGGAAAACUUGCUUUGCACAAAAGUUUCUCUCUUUAGCAUUUGCUGACAGGUAGCUAACUGGAAGACUAAUGGUGUUUGGGUUUUUGGUUUUUUUCCCCCUUUAAUCAACUCUUGAUUUUGUUCAUUUGAACUGAGAAAUGGGCAUAUAAUCCAACAAAGCCAUGAAUUCAAAAUCCUUCUGUCAAGUUCAAGAAUCUAUUAUAUGAUUGGGCAAGGAACAAACUCCUUUCCUAGUUAUGGCUUGAUUAAACCAACAGCAAACUUACGAAUACUCUUCCACUGUAUUAGGGGGAGAGGCAGUUUAGAAAGACAAGGAAGCAAAAUCAGGGUAAUGGGUUAGAGAGGAUGCUUUAACUUUUCUGUCUCCUUCUCUCUCUCUUCCUUCCUUCCUCCUUUCUUUCUUUCUCCUUCCUUCCUUCCUUUCUUUCUUUCUCCCUAACUCACAUAAAAUUACACUAACCACACAAGAAAAUAUCAGUUUCAAGAGUAUGUAUGAAUAUAAUUGGUGCCACAGGAAUUCAGAGAUACACUCAAAACCCAGAGGAUUCCUGACUUUCUGACUUUCUAACCCAUGCCAAGUGACCUCACCCCUCCAUGACCUUCUCCUGCCCUCCAUUCAGGAACCCACUUUGCCUGAAACACUCAAAAGCAUUCCAUUUGUAUUAGCUAACAUUCACCUGUCUCUCAACACUACUUUCCGUCUCUCAAGCUGUCUUCCUCUGAGGCUGCUUAGUCUGCACUGGUCUUAAGGAGAGCCCUGUCUCUCCUUGACCCUACCUCCUUCCCCUCUGUCUUCCCUCCCUUCUGUCUCUAACCAAGUUCUUGUUUUCCUUUAUUCACUUCUAUCUCACCAGUGACCUUGCACCCAGACACAGAAACGUGAAAACUUCCAUCCAUAAAUAAAAAAUGCAAUGGUUGUGCUUGCCCGUGACCUUCCCCAGUUCAAGCAGCUGGAAGGAUGGUCAACCACUGCACAAGAAAGCCUUCAUGGAUGAAGAUGCCAGAAUCUUAUCUUGUUCGUUCAAAAGUCUCAAUCCAGGUAUCAGAUAAGAAAAACUGGAAAAGAUUUGUGGUGAUUUAGAACUUGCUUUUUCUUGUCUACCCCCAAGUGGGGGUGGGGGUGAGGGAGAGAAUCCAGCUGGAGAGGAGAAAGAAGGAGAGGGAAGGAAAGAAAUGAGAUGCAGGUGUGUCUUGGGAGAAGUAGGAUCCUAACCCUUUGCCUCAGGUGUUUGGGGACCUGAAGGCAUGGGUAAGUCCCCAGUUUCCAUCUAGAGGGUGUGAGUCUUGCAUGAGUGUCUUGCAACCAGAAAGGCUUUGCAACCAGUAGGAUAGUGGUGGCUAAAGGGUUACCAGGGAGGAGUGAGAGGGCUGGGUCUCCUGCAGCCCCCAAAGAACAAGAUGGUGUUGAAAAUUCCCUAUGCUCCUCCUAGCCCCAGAGGGAGUUGUGAGUCUAGGCUGGUGGAUCUCCAGGGACAUGUGCCACCAGGGUGAGGAGAGGCUGGAAAGGAAGAAACAACGGGGACAGCCAGGAAGGAUCAGACCUUCUUUCUCAACAGAAGCCACGUGGAGAUGACACAUCUGACAAACAGAUGGGGUGGCGGCUGAUGAAUGGGCCACAUACAGAGACUUCUUACACUUGGUAGGGUAUCAUAAUGAUGGGAAAAUAUCAUUGUUUGUCCAAAUCUGUAGAGUGCACAACACCAAGAGUGAACUGUAGGUGGACGAUGGACUUAGGGUGGUUAUCAUGUGUCAGGGUAGGUCCCUCAGUUGUAACCAGUGCCCCACCCUGGUGUGGGAUGUUGGUGUGGUUAUGCAGAGAGUUUAUGGGAAAUCUCUGUACCUUUCUCUCAGUAUUGCUGUGACCUAAAAUUGCUCUCAAAAAUAGUGUUUAAAAAAAAAACAAACCACAACAGUUGGGAGAAGUUACAUUUCAGUGUAGUACAGCAUUGCACUGAAAACCCCAACAGCUGACCAAAUACCCCAACUCCCCUGGAAGACCACCAUGACCCUAUGAAAAUUCUAGAAGCAAGAGGAAGGAAAACAAAACAAAAGAAAUCCUUAAUUUGCCUGAACGUGGAGCGAAAAUGACCGUGGCCUAUACAUGAGCAAAUCUGACUGAGUUUACUUGCAACUAUCAGAUCGGGUUAGGAGGCGUCAUGGAAAGGGAAGAGGGGAUUCAAGAUACCCAGUGAAUUUAGUUAUAGAAAAAAAUUAGAUACCUUGUCGCAUACCGGCCAGGGGAACUUGAAUUUGUACUUAUCACCCUUCAUUGUCUUUUUGAUGCACCGACCCUUCCAAACCUCAAACUUGUAAAUUCUCUACUUUGCUUCCCAGGCUGCUGAGCCCUGGGGAAGAAGAGCACGCACUGGGAAGGAGUUAGGAGCCCUGGGAGGUGAGAAAGGUGGGCCUGAAGAUCUCCCUUCCUUUUUGAUGGGGAGGCUUGGACAGGCCAGGGGGGAAGGGGCCAUAAGAGAAGAGCUAGUGGCCGGGUGGAGGGUUACAGCUUUUUACAGAGAAGGUAUGUUGUGUGCGUUUUCACACUCAAUACUCACCAUAACCUGGGAGCGAGACAGACACCCCUUCCAGCUCUUGAUCCAAGGACAUGCAGCCUAUCAGCCACAGAACCUAGACGUGAUACCACUUUUCUGACUUUAAAUCUCACAUUCUUUUCAUCCUCCAAUGCUCCAGCUUCUUCUGCGGUGUCCAGAAGCUCGACUUUAGUCGAUGCCUUUCACUUUCCGUUUGCUAUUCGGUCUCAUUACUAUUGCUCCCAUUUUGCAGACGAGCCAACUGAGUUUCACUCCGUCCGAGGUCACUAUUAAGACAUUAAGCCUGGACUGAGAGCAGUUUUUCUGCUUCAUGAUUUGGUGCUCUAGCCAUUCUAUCCUGCUGGUAUUAAGCUGUAGGAGCACAUUAUUAAUGUUGUAUUUUUAGAGAAGCAAAAUACUGCCUUCCUCAUGGGGGAAAAAAUGAAUGACUAGUUGAACUUUUUUCCUUAAUUUUUUAUGAGGGGCACCUAUACAUCAUAAUACAGAACAGCGUUCUAGUUGAUUAGAUUUCCAUUUCUUUUCAAUGAGCCUCACUAAAAUUACACAUUUUAAUCUGAAGAAUUGAGAAAUACAGAUGUAAUUUCUGUGAAAACGCUUGGAGUAAGCGAAGCGUUACUCUUUAAGUAGAAACCACCGUUGCAAGUGAAAUGCUUAUCAUUGUUAAGAAAAACCAAUUUCUCAACAUUAACUUUGAAAUCAGCAGCAAAUGCGUUGGUUUGUUUUUUAAAUCAUUUCUCCCUGGUUUCCUUCCCUCUUUCCAUCAUUUUGCUGCACUUGCAAUUUGCUAUCUCAUUCCUGGCUCUCCUGUCUGCAAACUCUGUUUAGUGCAAAGCUUUGCAGAAAAAAAAAAAAAAAAAAAAAAA
Molecule: long non-coding RNA, 8643 nt
Filed under: Sus scrofa (pig)
Lineage: Eukaryota; Metazoa; Chordata; Mammalia; Artiodactyla; Suidae
Description: lncRNA (ENSSSCG00035033959.1)
Source: RNAcentral